This is a non-coding RNA of Anas platyrhynchos (mallard), 8242 nucleotides long. NCBI's taxonomy places the organism in Eukaryota, Metazoa, Chordata, Aves, Anseriformes, Anatidae. The record is from RefSeq and is a predicted model, not a curated record.
AAAACAGGUGUCAUACAGCAGGAGCAAGAAGCCGGUUACCAGCCUGCUAGGCCAAAGGAGAAUUUACAGGCAACUGAGUGGAGGAAAGGGGGGAUUCAGAUUUUUUGAAGAUGUCUGUAUGCAGCAAAAUGCAGAUGCCUGCACUCAAGUAUGCAGUCUUUGCCUUUGCAAAGAAAGCUAGCAUACGUCCCAUGGAGCCAGAUAUUGAAAUGUGAAUUGGGGGUGGGUUUGGGACCUGCGGCUGGCAGCACGGUGCGUGGGUGGUGGUUGAUUCCUGCUGCACAGUGGUUGCUGCUGCUGGCUGUGCUCCUGGCUGUGCUCGCUGUAGCAGAGUCAGCAGAGGGCUGGCACAUUCACACUGCUGUUCAGACCUGAUUCAAGGAAAAUCAUGGCUGCUUCAGUUUUGGCUCAUCUCGCGGAAUGACUCAUCUGUUAUGAGAUGGGACCCACCUAGAAAAGAUGGGAUUGAGUUGCAUUCCUCUUUCAGUUCCUUUAAGUGUGUGAAAAUUAUCAGGGUAUGUCUGAGCCCCAUUAACAUCUUAUAAAUAAAUAAAAGGAAAAAGGAAAAAAAAAAAAGAAACCCUCCUAUAAACAUAUCUUGCUGCCCUCUAUUCUACCUCCGCUUCCCCAUGAACACGUAGCCGUGCGUGCAGCCGUGGGCUUGUCAAAGCGAGUGCUGUGGGGGAGAGGGAGGUGGAGGGGGAGACCGUGGCUGGGGCCCUCGAGGUCAGCGGGGUCCUGGAGGCUCUCCCCGUCCCAGGUGAGCCUCCAGCUGCCUGCGGGGGGGAGGCUGGCGGUAGGGGAGGCUCCUCCGGCCCGGCCUGCAGGUAGUGGGCUCUGGCGCCUUGCAGCGGGAGGCAGAGGCCGCCACUUGCUCCCCAGCACCUCGGGAGGGCGCGGGGGUGGCCCUGCUCCUCGCCCUGCUCCUCGAGCUCGCAGGUACUUAACAGCUUUGCCUCCCUGGCCCAGAGGAUGGGGGCACGGGGAGGCACCGUGCCGGUCUCCUUUCCCCCAGGAAAACAGGGUGAAAGCAGCCUCGAUGGUCGGAGCUAGGCUGUGCUGUACUGCCUGGCCCUGUUUUGGAAAACACCCCGCUUUGUUUCCCCAGAAUGGGUCCGGGCUUCAGCUAGUAGCAGUCUGUGCUCCCCGUUCAGCAGCUUGGAUGGGGGAGCCAGAUUUGAGAAGGGGGAUCAGAGCAGGGACCUGGGGGCAGUGGAGAGCCAACAGCACCCCCAGCACCCCAGGGCCCCUGACCACAUAAGCAAGAGCUGAGCAGGAGCAGCCCAGAGUCUGGCUUCCUACAGCCCUCCUGUACUGGCCUCCGAGAGGGUUUUGUUGUUUUAUUUGUGUUGUGGAUUUUUUAUUUUUUUUUAACGCAGACCAUAGGAGCUAAACAUAAGAGAGAAUAGUUUUUAUCUAACCACAGUUUUCUGCAUUGCAUAGAAAAGGUUUCCAGCAGGACGUCAGGAUGAAGCGGUUCAUGGCCAUGUUAAGCAGGAACAAACACAAGGAUCCCCCACCCACCAAGCUGCUGGAUCUAGCGGGGCAGCUUUGCCGGGACCUCCAGAGCUCAUUCCCUAAUCUGGAGAAGCUGGUUGGGGCCGUGAUGAGAUGCAAACAAAAGAUGCAUUUUCUCACUAACAUCCACGUUGUCCGAGCUUGUGUGUUUGUUCACAUCCGUAACGGGCAGCAUGACACAGCCUGCAGGCUCCUGGAGUGUUGCAGGGCAGAAGAGAAGGAGGAGCUGGUGCAACUUUGGCAUGAGAUUCACUACCAUAGGAUUAUGGAGAAACACCACAGAGAUUUUCUGACACCACUGCAGAAAUUUCGUUGCAGGAAGAGGAAUCCUCCACCUAUUUCCCUUUGUCCUGAGGGCUUGAAAAAUCGAAACUAUUCCAAUGAAGUACGCCAGCAGCUGUACAAAUUUGCUGCAGAAGUGACAACAAAUCCAAACAAGAAACAACGGGAGGGAUUAGCUCAGGACAUGAACCUGCAGCCAGCUCAGGUCUAUAACUGGUUUGCAAAUUAUCGACGACGUCAAAAAUCCCGCAUCUGUCGUGAGGAAAAGCUUAACUACUUGUGCCCUGAGGGGACCUUGAUGCACCAUGCAAAGGAUCAGCAGAAUAGAGGAUCCUACACUCCACAAACUGCAGGUGGAUCUUAUGUAGGCAUUUGCUCUGAGCAGACAGAGAUAAACCUCAUGCCCUGUGACCCAGGGUGGGAGCAGGCAGCUACAGACAUGGAUAAGUCUCCAGAAGGAAUGUACUUAAAGAUGCUGGAAUCCAGCUUUAUUCAGAGCAGUGCACUGUGCGAACCAAGGACAAGCAAGGCAUUGAUGACUCACAUCACUGAACAACCUGUAGCUUUUUUCAGUGAGGCUGUGCUGGAACCAGGAACCUGCUUUAACUCUGCCGUCUUUCAGCCCAGAGAAGCAGCAAGCAGUAUUGACGCUGGCCCCCAGCUGGAUAACUUUGUUGUGUGCUCUUGUGGGUCCCUUAUCUUCCCAGGUGAACGUCUGGCCAUGUGGCAGGCCCCUCCCAGCACCACAGGAGUCUCCAGCUCCAUGUGGACCCCAAAUGUAGAAGGUUAGUAAAAAUUAACCCAGACUAUGGCCCUUAAGAGUUUUUCCAGGCUUCUCCUCCCUUUGCUGAAAACAUGCUUUAUUACAUGGCUUUCCCACAUCAUGACAAACGGGAGGAGGGUGUAUCUUCAGCUCCCAUAACAGCAUAGGAAACCUGUUGAUUUAAGGUGCUGAACCAGACAUUCUUGCCUACUAUCUUGCUAAGACUGUAACUCCUUCCUAAGAUAGUGCUUUUCCAGCAAGGUGGACUCCUUUUAGCUUUUCCAUUGGAAGGGUCCCUUCAGGUGCUGUCUGCUCACCUUGUCAGUUAGCAGGCUUCUGGGUUUUUAAACCCCUGACAAUUCUUCAGAGGCAAGUGCUGAUUGCCUGAGCAGAUGCUGGAAGCAUGGUGCUCAUCUUCAGCAACACUUUCUCACUUGCCUUUCUUCUUCCUGCUUUUCUCUCUCCCUCUCUGUUUCCUUCCUAUCCUGUCUUGUUCAGCAUUCCCACCAUCUCUUUUCUUGUCCCUGUUCUUCAGAAUGGCCUUGAUACGAUACAUAACAUGUGCUUUUGCUAUAGGUCUACAGAGUGGAAGGUGCUGUGACUGCUAUUUGCACAACCUCUGGUGAAUGCACAGCAAAGGGGGGGACUAGCUGGGUCAGAGGUUGAGGUCAUGUUAUCUGUAAUUGUCUUUAAUACGAACAUUUAUUUCAGCAGGUGUAAGAGCUCCCUUAAGCAGAGUCUCUCAAGGUGGUUUUAUUGAGGCCAGUUCAGGAAGAAUCAUUCGGCAGUCAGAUUUAGAGGUUGAAAACUUCACCCUUAGAGAAGGACAGCUAGGGACCCUGGAGGCUAUUCUUCCCCACAGGUAAAGGAGUGGAAAGCACAGGGCUUCUCAAAGGCAGGACUAACAAUGAUUGUUGUGAAUCUAGCCUUGUCCUGAUUCCCCUAUUAAAGAGGGCUGCAGAAAGUGUGGUAAUGCAUCUCAUUCCAGGGGCCUGACUCUCCGCUUGUCCUCAUCAGAUUCUAAAGAUAUUUUUAUCUGUGUGCUGGAAAUGGGAAAUGCUGCAUAAACGUGUGUGUGUUUUACAGCGUGGUUAGUACAAAGGAGAUUCAGGGCCAGCAUCGCAAACCCCUCUCUUUAAAGCAGGUUUGGCAUCUAAGCCAUUUGCCUGUUUUUCUUUUUGGCAGAAAAUCAUAACUUACACUGAUCUCUGCAAGAGCUGACCCUGCAGGCUGGGUUGGUAGGGCCUGUACUUAAUCCUAAAAUAGUUUUUUGUAGCUUCAUAACCUCAUGACAAGAUUAUUCCGUAGUGCAAGCUUUCCGAAUUGAAGACAGAAAGACAGGCACUGUUCUGCCUUUUUGUUUUCCACCUGUACCGAAUGUUUCAGACAGCAGGUUUUCUCUGGGACUUGAGAUAAAUUCACAGAAUGCAAAACAACAAAAAUCCGUGCCAUCUUCCAUGUGUUACACAACUUCCAUAAUGUUACAUAAAAAUAAACACUGCAAAACAGACAUUAUAAAGUUCCUUUAAUCUGCUGAUCUGCAAGACAGAUCAGGAGUAGUAGUACCAUUUUGUAACCCUUCUGCUUGACCCUGUCCAGCAUUUGUGCUAGCAUAACCCUGUCAAUAAUGUGUCAAAGAGGUAGGCAGAAGAAGCAGUUUUAUUCCAGUUUUGCAGAUGAGGAAGCAGAGGCAGGGAGAGGCUUUGUGGCUUGUCAAAGCAACAAGGGAAGGCAGUGAUUCACUGGAGAUAGUGAUCAGUAGAUUUUUUUGCCUCCCAGUUAGUUCCCUGCUAUAAACAUUUCUGCCUUUUACCUCUGUUUCCCAGUUGGCUUGGUGCCUACAGUUGUUCACAUUCAUGUCAGACUCCCUCCUCAGAAUUGCUGGGGUGAACCCAGGUCUAGGUAUUGUGAGCCCACCUCAGCCUGUGUUUUGGGAUUUGCAGUUUUAAACUGUGGCUAAGGAUUAUGAAAGAUGAGUGAGGAAUUGCUGGCAAUAUUUUGGCUGGAUGUAAAAUUGCAUGUUCUGACUCUAGAGUGAGCUCAUGUUUAUUUUUAAAGUAUGUUCCACCACUAGAAGAAAUCUAUGGUGAAUGUCUCCUUGUUGGGUAUGUCAGUUGUGCCAGGAAUCCAUACACCCUUUAUCAUAUUCCUGGCAGGGGCAGGACUUGCUGCUUCAUCGACACCUUCUGGUGAGGAUACAGUUAUUUGAACUCUGUAGACCCUACUUAGUUUAGUGGCCUGGUCCAUCUCCCCUCAGAACCUUGAACUCCCCAAAAUACCAUGCAUGGUAUGGACCUUAAAUCUUUUCAGGAGUGAGUGAGGCUUAGGCUGCAAUCUUACCCGGGCCUUUUUGCAAUUUCUCUCUAGAGAGCCAGCAGACCUUGGGUGGGAUGUCUUGGGUGAGAUCACUGUGCAGUGAUGGGCAAUGAGUGAGGAUCACCUCUGUUAUCAAGCAGUGCCCUCUAACAGGCUUACUGGAUUAAAGAGGAGUAUUGUGUCACCCGAGUCAUCUUUAGCAGCAGUGUUGCAAUGAGCAUCACUCAUCUGGGGACUUAAGAAGGAGUCAACAGCUUAAUCUGUGAGGCAGAUGAGUGGUAUUAUCUUAGAAAGACAGGGCAGUGAAACUAUCCAUGCUUUGGUGAUAAAAGUAAAGCUGAGAGAAGGAAAUUAUUUAUCCAGGGUCACCCAUCUGGAGUGGACUUCUGCUGUGAUAGUCGCUGCCUAUAUCGGUCUGCUUGUAGGUGCCAGGGUAGAGCUGCAAGUCAGCCAAAGGAACCUUGAUCUGCAUGUCUCGUUUUAAAGGUGCUCACCUGGAAAGGACUUGCCUUGAAAGCUUAUUAGACCAAUUUUGGUUUAUUUCUUUUAUGGGCUUUUUCCAGUUGGUCCUACGCACUUGGGCUGUAUCCAAACCUCUCACGCUCCACAGGGCUGUGAGGUGGGAGUGUGAGGGGGAGCCAGGCUGGGAGCUGACUGUCUCCAUCUGCUCCUGCUGCCUGACAGGAGGGUGUGAUCCAGCUAGUGAACUGGAGGGCCCUGUGGGGCAUCAAACAGAUGCUUGCCUCUACAGAUAGUGUUGUUUUAUCCUCUUCAUUCUUCUGGUUGGGACAGGUGGAAUGUAGCCUGGCUAAUGGUUCGUGCAGAAUAUGGCUCUCCUGUGCCUCACUUUUCAAGCAGAAAAGCACACUGAACUUUAUAGAGCAAGACAGACUGCGUUUAUGAGCCAGCUUAUUGAUUUAGAAAAUACCAGUGCUGGGAUGUUUGUUGCAGCUUACCAAUUCUUCCUGUGCUUUGCAAUGCCAGCUCAGUACAGUAGGAAUCUCCUGCCAUUAGGCUCGCGCCCCAGAUAACCCCACUGCGCGUGACACUGGCAGGCAGCAAGUUUCAAAUGUGCAAAAGGAGGCUACUUUUGGGCAUGUUGCAUAAUUAAAUCACAGAAUUUGUUGCUAAGGGUGUUGUGCAUGUCAAAGUGUAAGUGGGCAAUGAUAAAGGAUGAGAGGAAUUUGUGGGGGUAGGGGCUGAGUCUGUUUGUCAUUAGUAAAUGUAAUUGCAUGAAUGCAGCCUCCAGCAAAGGAAUCCCGAGACUGAUUGCUGAAACCUGGAGGGGAUCCCAAGGAAGGGCAACUUGACAAGAAACAGCCCUGUUCCUUGUACUUUUUUCCCAAGUUCUAUUAGUUGAUUCCUUUAGUUUGGGCUUGUAUGGCUGUUCAUACCCUGGGGUAUUCCUGGCAGUGGUAUGGGCAGUGUUGUUGGAGUACAGAUAUGGAGUUGGUGACAAAGGGCAUCCCAUCGUCGAGUACCCAGUGUCUCCUACUUGGCGCAGUGCCUGCAGACUCUUUUCAGACGUUGGCAGAGCCCCUGGGGAGGUGUGGAUGGGGAAGCCAUGUCCCCAGACUGUCAGCUGAUGGCCUUGAAAAGCUAUAGUAGAAUUACAGCUAAUGUUGUGGCUAUGUCUGAAGCCACCUUCGGAUGUUUUGACUCUGAGGACCUCUGUGUUUUUAAAAUAUGUUCCAGGAGAAAGACAUUUUGGUAGACAUCUCUCUGUUUAUGCAGAGUGUUCUAGGGGCAUAAGGCAAGUUGCAAAUGGAGAUGUCAGUCCUGUAUACUGCUCCUGGUCAGGCUAGUCCUCCCAUUGCACAAUCUGUUUUUUCGGUCUGUGACAAUCUGAAGAAAUGACACAGUUCCCAUCAGACUGUGGCUGGCAAGCCUCAGUGCCCACCUGUUUCUGCACCCUGCAUGGAAGAAAGCCAAGCCAUGGGACAAGGCCAGGUGCUGGAGGAUCCAGUUGGUGACCCAUUAGCCGAUGAUACAUUCUGGGCAGCACAGCUGCUCUUUCGAAUUCUCAGCUGGGGGACAAAUGUGACCUGCCUACAGUGAUGCUCAAUGUGGUCUGCACUUCUCCAGGAAACACCCUAUUCUUUCCUGUUUUUCUCUCAUUAAUUUUUUAAAAUGAAUGAAGAGUUUGACAUGGAGUUGAGGAACAGAAAGAAUGAGGUAGAUGGAUGAAGGCCUUUUCCUAAUAGUUAUGCAGUUGGUUUUAGUUUUAUGAAGAAUUUUGCAAAGAAUAUAAGAAACCAAAGGUACAUUGUGGAUUGUAGGUUUUCACUAGAGCAGUCUGAAUUUGCUCUGUGAACGUUAAAAUAUCAAGUCACUGAUUCUGUGUUAGUUGCAUAGUUCUACCUAUAGCACUGGUCAGAUAAGAGUCCUUCAUUACACCAUGCAGGCAUAUGAAACUCUACUCAGAAGGAAUAAAAUCUUAGUUACAUUGCCUAACAGUUGGAUAUUGGAUACGAGAUAAAGGUUAUCUCAGGCAUGGAAAAUAAGGACUCAGCUAAGUGCUGGUAAAACACUGCUGUUACUCAUCUCUGCACUUCUGUUGUGCUGCUGGGCAUCACUUUGAAAUGUUCCAUGCUCUAUAGUGCUGUAGAAGACACAGGACUGGAGCAUGGCAGAAAUUACAGUGCUAGAGUUGCUGUUCUUGCAGGACUGGAAGGGGGGCAUACAAGUGCAUUGGUAGCUAACGCUGCCUGCAUCUGAUUGCCUGCAAAAGGCGGAUAAAUGGUGGGAGCCUCUUGAGCCGUUUCAGUUCCCAGAUCUGGAUGGGCUGAAAUUGCACAGGCAAUUGUGUCACCCUUCAGGCUGGUCUGCGGCAGUGUGACGCUCAGCAGCAGCAGGUGAGCGCAUCCUAUUUGCCCUGCAACGCAGUGUGAGCUGCGCGAGGCGUCUUUGAGCAGGGGCUAAAGCUGUAUUUGGCUGAAGGCUACUUACUCCACAGGGGUAGGAAGUUCCAAGUGCGACCCACCUGGGAAAUGUGCACAAUUCUUUACUUUUUGCCCAGUGCUUUUCCGUGUUUAACCCAGCCUGGAGGCCUCCUGUCACACUCACUGCCUUGUGCUGCUCACAGAUCAGGAGCCCUGUUCCUUUUCUUUCACUUUCAGACUAAGAAGUAGAAUUGUGUAUGAAUAGCAAAGCAGGCUUAAAAUUUCUGCUGUAAGUCAUCGGGCAGUCUUUUUGGUACUUUCUGUAACUAUUACUGGUAUUUUUUAAAUAGCAAGGUAUUGUGAAAGGGGUAAUCUUUGUCAAAUCUACUGCUCUGAGAUGAACAAAGUAGAUGCCUCCAGAACUGUUUGUAAUAGUUGUCAAAUAAAGGUUAUGAAUGACUCUUUCUCAAGGGUUCAUCUU